CCUACGGGAGGCAGCAGUAGGGAAUUUUCGGCAAUGGGGGGAACCCUGACCGAGCAACGCCGCGUGAACGAAGAAGUUAUUCGUAAUGUAAAGUUCUUUUAACAGGGAAGAAAGAGAAAUUUGACGGUACCUGAAGAAUAAGCUCCGGCUAACUACGUGCCAGCAGCCGCGGUAAUACGUAGGGAGCGAGAGUUAUCCGGAAUUAUUGGGCGAAAAGGGUGCGUAGAUGGCAUAGUAAGUCUUUUGUAAAAAUGCUGGGCUCAACCCAGUAGGGCAAAAGAUACUGCAAAGCUAGAGUAUGACAGAGGCAAGUGGAACUACAUGUGUAGCGGGAAAAUGCGUAAAUAUAUGUAAGAACACCAGUGGCGAAGGCGGCUUGCUGGGUCGAUACUGACAUUGAGGCACGAAAGCGUGGGGAGCAAACAGGAUUAGAUACCCGAGUAGUC
RNAcentral lists this ribosomal RNA (446 nucleotides) under uncultured bacterium. RNAcentral describes it as "partial 16S ribosomal RNA". It matches the Rfam family "Bacterial small subunit ribosomal RNA", at positions 338 to 795 of the family's 1533-position model. The record is from RNAcentral.